This 287-nucleotide unclassified non-coding RNA is filed under the name Inocybe sp. RNAcentral describes it as "partial contains 5.8S ribosomal RNA, internal transcribed spacer 2, and large subunit ribosomal RNA". The record is from RNAcentral. RNAcentral also lists the same sequence under 1 other name. Lineage: Eukaryota; Fungi; Basidiomycota; Agaricomycetes; Agaricales; Inocybaceae.
AACGCAUCUUGCGCUCCUUGGUAUUCUGAGGAGCAUGCCUGUUUGAGUGUCAUCAAGUUCUCAACCCCACAUCCUUUUUGAAGGGACGUGGAUUUGGAUUAUGGAGUUUGCAGGCUUGAUUUGAAAGGUCUGCUCCUCUGAAAUGUAUUAGUGGCAAUGUGGAAAAGCUACUGUGGGUGUGAUAACUAUCUAUGCCUAUGCAGUGCUCUGCUGUGCCGCUUUGGAGAGAGAAAUUUAUUUCUGACAAACUUGACCUCAAAUCAGGUAGGACUACCCGCUGAACUUAA